Molecule: ribosomal RNA, 253 nt
Filed under: uncultured bacterium
Lineage: Bacteria
Description: partial 16S ribosomal RNA
Rfam family: Bacterial small subunit ribosomal RNA
Source: RNAcentral
UACGUAGGGAGCAAGCGUUGUCCGGAAUCAUUGGGCGUAAAGCGCGCGUAGGUGGCCUCAUAAGUCCGCUGUGAAAGUCAAAGGCUCAACCUUUGAAAGCCGGUGGAUACUGUGAGGCUAGAGUACGGAAGAGGCGAGUGGAAUUCCUGGUGUAGCGGUGGAAUGCGCAGAUAUCAGGAAGAACACCCGUGGCGAAGGCGGCUCUCUGGGACGGUACUGACGCUGAGACGCGAAAGCGUGGGGAGCGAACAGG